RNAcentral lists this ribosomal RNA (535 nucleotides) under Desmodema lorum. RNAcentral's name for it is "partial 16S ribosomal RNA". It matches the Rfam family "Bacterial large subunit ribosomal RNA", at positions 1862 to 2600 of the family's 2925-position model. The record is from RNAcentral. Lineage: Eukaryota; Metazoa; Chordata; Actinopteri; Lampriformes; Trachipteridae.
CCCGGUGACUUAAAGUUUAACGGCCGCGGUAUUAUGACCGUGCAAAGGUAGCGUAAUCACUUGUCUUUUAAAUGGAGACCAGUAUGAAUGGCGAAACGAGGGCAAGACUGUCUCCCCCCUUCGGUCAGUGAAACUGAUCUCCCCGUGCAGAAGCGGGGAUGUUACCACAAGACGAGAAGACCCUGUGGAGCUUCAGACUUUAGGGAGCUUACCUUAAGUAUCCCUAACAAAGGGAUAAAAUCAUGGCACCCCUCCCCUAAAUGUCUUUGGUUGGGGCGACCGCGGAGAAAAGGAUAACCCCCGCGUGGAUAGGGCUUCCCCUAUAACCCAGAGCUACAGCUCUAAGUAUCAGAAUACCUGACCUUGAAUGAUCCGGCCUGCCGAUCAACGAACCAAGUUACCCCAGGGAUAACAGCGCAAUCCCCUUCUAGAGCCCAUAUCGACAAGGGGGUUUACGACCUCGAUGUUGGAUCAGGAUAUCCUAAUGGUGCAGCCGCUAUUUAAGGUUCGUUUGUUCAACGAUUGAAAUCCUACG